Engraulis encrasicolus (European anchovy) is the source of this 1319-nucleotide long non-coding RNA. RefSeq lists it as uncharacterized. The record is from RefSeq and is a predicted model, not a curated record. The transcript is spliced from 5 exons. NCBI's taxonomy places the organism in Eukaryota, Metazoa, Chordata, Actinopteri, Clupeiformes, Engraulidae.
UUGAGGCAAUAUUGGUCAAAUUAACUGUGACAUUGGUAACUAUUAAACAAACAAAUUGGUUAUCUAACAACUAAUAUCAUUGGUUAAGAACAAAUUGGUUGAUUUAACAAAGAUAUUAGUUAACUUUAAUAAAAGAUUGGUUGAAAAAUGACUAAUAUCAUUGGUUAAGCAAAUGUUAACUAAGAGAUUGGUAACUGACGCAGGUCUGACGCUCAACGUCAAGUACGUAACUCUGCUUCUCAAUUUUCUGACAAAGCCGCCAUCUUGGUGCUGCAGGAAAGCCGUUUGAGAUAUUGGUGGAAUUCAAACACUUUGUGAGAUGACAGAAUAUUGCUGAAGGAUCCUACAUGGAAGCUGGCUGAUUACACGGAGUGAUUCCUCUGGUGUGGUGUACCUCAGAGAAAUAAACACUGUUGCAAGAGCUGAGAAGAUGGCCAAGAUAUCCUUAUUGCUGGAUGGUAGCUCUGGUCGUAGUGGACCAUAUCUGCAAAUGCUUCUGAACAUUGACAGAAUUUCUAAAGGAUCGCUGAGGACUCCCCCUCCAUGCGUGACAUCUUUGAGAAAUUUCCACGCUUUCUGGAGAUGCCAAGUUUGACUGGAACCAACUUUGCAUCCCUCGGCACUGACACUGAGAAGGUUUCAAGGACCCCACUACUAGGAGGCGAGAGUUUGACACGGCAGUGUCAUCACUGCCAUGGAUGACAAUGUAACCAUUCCUGUUGCUGAUUGCCUGACUUGCGCAGUGACAAGCUUUUCAUGCUCUACUGGGUGUGUAACUUGGCAUAUCCACCACAGUUUAACUCUGUUUUUGCCUCUUUUGAAUAUGUGUACGAUAUAACCAUCUCAACCAAAAAGUGGGCCAAGGUACUGGAACAUUUAUCACUUCAAGUUGCUCUGUAGUCACUGGACAUUUUUUAAAACAUCUACGCAAACACCACCACUCCACACCAUGUGUAUUUUAAUUACUUCUGAUUCCACUGACAUGCAGACUACAUCCUAUGCAGAUUCAGGUAAUUUACCUGGUACUGGAGAAACAGCAUUGUAUGCCAUUCUAAGUGAUACUUGCCUCCUUGUUUUGCAAAAAUGUACUGUUCUUUGAAUAUAACUUAAAGUAAGAUCAUGUUGACUCUGAGGUUUUCUCCGGUUGUCAAGCACAACCUUAACGUUUUGUAAGUAAGUAAUAGUCACAGGAUAUGCAUGCAUUUGUAAUUUGAAUUUUCGUCGAAAACGGCUCACCAAGCAUAAAAUGUUACCUCUGCUUUUGAUUUUUCUUUUUUUUAAAUGUCCCUUAAUACCAGCCUGUCUUUUUGUUGUGUCCA